UGCCAGCCGCCGCGGUAAUACGGAGGGUGCUAGCGUUGUUCGGAAUUACUGGGCGUAAAGAGUGCGUAGGCGGCAUAGCAAGUUGGAAGUGAAAUCCCGGGGCUCAACCUCGGAAUUGCUUUCAAAACUGUUAAGCUAGAGUAUGGUAGGGGAUAGUGGAAUUCCUAGUGUAGGGGUGAAAUCCGUAGAUAUUAGGAGGAACACCAGAGGCGAAGGCGACUAUCUGGGCCAUUACUGACGCUAAGGCACGAAAGCGUGGGGAGCGAACGGGAUUAGAUA
This 279-nucleotide ribosomal RNA is filed under the name uncultured bacterium. Its description in RNAcentral is "partial 16S ribosomal RNA". It matches the Rfam family "Bacterial small subunit ribosomal RNA", at positions 506 to 784 of the family's 1533-position model. The record is from RNAcentral.